RNAcentral lists this ribosomal RNA (551 nucleotides) under uncultured bacterium. Its description in RNAcentral is "bacterial SSU rRNA". It matches the Rfam family "Bacterial small subunit ribosomal RNA", at positions 355 to 896 of the family's 1533-position model. The record is from RNAcentral.
UGGGGAAUCUUGCGCAAUGGGGGAAACCCUGACGCAGCAACGCCGCGUGGGUGAUGAAGGCCUUCGGGUCGUAAAGCCCUGUCAGGUGGGAAGAACCUCAUCGGUGCCAAUACCACCGAUGCUUGACGGUACCACCGGAGGAAGCACCGGCUAACUCCGUGCCAGCAGCCGCGGUAAUACGGAGGGUGCAAGCGUUGUUCGGAAUUAUUGGGCGUAAAGCGCGUGUAGGCGGUCGGGUAAGUCAGAUGUGAAAGCCUUCCGCUUAACGGGAGAAGUGCAUUUGAAACUGCUCGGCUGGAGUACGGGAGAGGAGGGUGGAAUUCCCGGUGUAGAGGUGAAAUUCGUAGAUAUCGGGAGGAACACCAGCGGCGAAGGCGGCUCUCUGGUCCGAUACUGACGCUGAGACGCGAAAGCGUGGGGAGCAAACAGGAUUAGAUACCCUGGUAGUCCACGCCGUAAACGAUGGGCACUAGGUGUAGGAGGUAUUGACCCCUUCUGUGCCGAAGUUAACGCAUUAAGUGCCCCGCCUGGGGAGUACGGCCGCGAGGCUA